GGAUCCCAUGCUGUGGCACAAGGUCGCCGCUCUCUCUGGAAUCGCUGCCCUCGGCCUCGGCACCUACGGAGCUCAUGGAUUCAAGCCCCAAAACCCAUCAUACAAAGAUGUCUGGCACACUGCGUCCCUUUAUCACUUGGUUCACACCGCAGCACUAGUUGCCGCACCGGUCACCAAACAUCCCAAUAUUUUCGGAGGGCUUCUGACGACGGGGAUCUUGGCAUUUUCUGGGACAUGCUAUACGGUGGCGUAUCUCGAAGACCGGAAGUACU
RNAcentral lists this unclassified non-coding RNA (272 nucleotides) under Hevea brasiliensis (rubber tree). Lineage: Eukaryota; Viridiplantae; Streptophyta; Magnoliopsida; Malpighiales; Euphorbiaceae. The record is from RNAcentral.